RNAcentral lists this ribosomal RNA (520 nucleotides) under uncultured Glomus. RNAcentral describes it as "SSU rRNA". It matches the Rfam family "Eukaryotic small subunit ribosomal RNA", at positions 569 to 1086 of the family's 1831-position model. The record is from RNAcentral. Lineage: Eukaryota; Fungi; Glomeromycota; Glomeromycetes; Glomerales; Glomeraceae.
AGCAGCCGCGGUAAUUCCAGCUCCAAUAGCGUAUAUUAAAGUUGUUGCAGUUAAAAAGCUCGUAGUUGAAUUUCGGGAUCAAAGGAUCGGUUAUGCCUUGGUAUGUACUGGUUUUAUUGGUUCUCACCUUCUAAAGAACCAUAAUGUCGUUCAUUUGAUGUUAUGGGGAAUUAGGACUGUUACCUUGAAAAAUUAGAGUGUUUAAAGCAGGCUUACGCUUGAAUACAUUAGCAUGGAAUAAUGAAAUAGGACAUCAGAUUCUAUUUUGUUGGUUUCUAGGAUCGAUGUAAUGAUUAAUAGGGAUAGUUGGGGGCAUUAGUAUUCAAUUGUCAGAGGUGAAAUUCUUGGAUUUAUUGAAGUACUAACUACUGCGAAAGCAUUUGCCAAGGGUGUUUUCAUUAAUCAAGAACGAAAGUUAGGGGAUCGAAGACGAUCAGAUACCGUCGUAGUCUUAACCAUAAACUAUAGCCGACUAGGGAUCGGAUGAUGUUUAAAUUUUUUAAUGUACUCUAUUCGGCGC